RNA transcript from Oncorhynchus kisutch (coho salmon), 2327 nucleotides. It is a transcript of the gene named lectin, mannose-binding, 1, with no coding region annotated. The transcript is spliced from 12 exons. Lineage: Eukaryota; Metazoa; Chordata; Actinopteri; Salmoniformes; Salmonidae. The record is from RefSeq and is a predicted model, not a curated record.
UGAUUCAAUGCUACGUCAGCAGUGGUACCAAAAGAUGGCAGUGUCCAUAGUAAACCGCCUGGCUGCUGAAGCGUGUUUAUUAAUAUUUACUUUAAUAUUCCAACAUAGUAAUGCCAAUAAUAUCGCCGCCGCUGCUUCGACUGCAGAAGCCCCAAACCGCAGGUUUGAAUACAAGUACAGUUUCAAGGGACCGCACCUGUCUCAAGCCGACGGGAGUAUUCCCUUUUGGGUACACAGUGGAAAUGCCAUCCCCAGUGCCGAUCAGGUCCGUAUCACCCCCUCUCUCAGGAGUCAGAAGGGCUCGGUCUGGACCAAGUCCACGGUCAACUUUGACAACUGGGAAGCAGAGGUGACAUUCCGUGUGUCUGGACGAGGGAGGAUGGGAGCGGACGGCCUGGCGAUAUGGUUCACUACUGCACAAGGCCUGGAUGGUCCUGUCUAUGGAGCCGCUGACAACUGGAACGGUAUCGGCAUCUUCUUCGAUUCCUUCGACAACGAUGGGAAGAAAAAUAACCCUGCUGUGCUGGUAGUGGGAAACAAUGGCAAACUUGUUUAUGAUCACCCAAAUGAUGGCACGACUCAGGCCCUGGGGACAUGCUUAAGAGACUUCCGUAACAAACCCUAUCCUGUCAGAGCCAAAAUAACAUACUAUAAAAGAACACUAACAGUGCUGAUCAACAAUGGUUUCACGCCAGAUAAGGAUGACUAUGAGUUCUGUACAAAAGUGGACAACAUGGUCAUUCCACAGGAGGGCUACUUCGGCAUCUCAGCUGCCACUGGGGGUCUAGCAGACGAUCAUGAUGUCCUGUCCUUCUUGACGUUCAGACUAUCAGAGCCUGGCCAAGAACUGCCCCCACCUGAAGCAGAGAUGCCCAAGCAGGACAAGGACAAGUACCAGGAGGAAUUUGAGAACUUUCAGCAGGAUCUGGACAAAAAGAAAGAGGACUACCAGAAGGAGCAUCCGGACGUUCAGGGACAACCCAUUGAGGACAUGUAUGAGAGUGUGAACGACAGAGAGAUCCGCCAAGUGUUUGAGGGCCAGAACCGGAUCCAUCUGGAGAUCAAGCAGCUUCACCAUCAGCUGGCCGUGAUCCUGGACGAACAACGACGCUACGUAUCCGUGGCUACCGACGAGAUCUCCAAGCGCCAAGGGGAGUCUGGAGGACAGGUGGGACAGGCUCCGAGUCAAGAGAUGGGUGCAGUGGUUGCAACACAACAGGAAGUACUGAGGAACCUGAACGAGUUGAGAAACUCGUUCUAUGAGUCUCUGAAGCAGAUUGGUGCCAGCCAGCAUCAGGGCAACGCAGUUGGCAUGGGAACGUAUGAGACGGUCCAACACUUCAACGACAUCAAGGAACAUCUACACGUGGUCAAGAAGAACAUCGAACACCUCAUCACACGCACUGGGGUUUGUCUAACUUAUUUGACUGUAAAUCUCAGGGGUUAUCCACACGUCUUUCUCAAGUCUGUUCCUGAUUCCUCGAACUUCGCCUCCUUCGCCAACCACAUUGGAAGAGAAGAUCCAUGGUCCUUCUCCCUCAGACCUUCUCCUCCAAUGUGUUUUGAGAAGACGGGAAAGAACGAAGACAUGAGGAAUCUAGAUUUUUACUGUAUAUUUUUGUGUCUUAUGCUGCAUGUAGAACCCCAGUGAAAAGCAGGUGAUGAACUGCCCUGAUCCCCCUCCAAUGCCUUCCUGUUUGGGUACCACACACUUCCUGGUCUUUGUGGUCAUCCAAUCAGUCCUGUUCUUCAGCUACAUUAUGUACAAAAGUCAACAAGAAGCAGCAGCAAAGAAAUUCUUUUGAUGAAACACUCAUCAUGAUCAUGCCAAUAUGUAAAUGAGAGACUGUUCAUUUUUCCUGGUUAUUUUGAUUUGGUUUUGUUUUUCAAAAUUGUAAAUUAUUGUACUUGAAAUUUAGAUUUUGUUUGAGAAGUUUAUUUUUUAAUUUCUUAGUUUUAAUUUGAUCUGAUGUUAUGUAUAGGGUAUGUGAAUGAAUGCUCGUGUGGGACAUUUUGUUAAAAGAUUCCAAAUAUGAUGUAAUAUAUUCUAUACAGUAUUUUGACAAGUCGUUGGGUGAUAUUCUGAUCUUUCGACUGAUUUUUGAUAAGUUCCCACUCUCAGAAAACAAAAACACCGUAUGCCCAUUCACAUAGCUUGGAGAACUGUGGAUUUAAUAAAUGUGCAAUUUUGUAUGAAUUCUGAACUGUUGAACAAAAGCCAGAGUGGAUGUCCAAUAUGUGUGUCUUCUUGAAUGGUUGAAGCAUGCCAAUCUGGCAUUUUUCUUUUUUCUUCUCAAGCAAAUUUACAUAAACAAAAAACAAACCAA